AGUCCAUGGUAAUAAACAUCUAUAAUCCUAGCCCUGGGAGGGCAACACAGGAGGAUUAGGAGGCAGGGCCAGCCUGGGCUACUAAACAAAACUCAGAAAACAAACGAAAUACUCCUCUGAGACCACGGAUGGUGAGCAGAGCCUGAGAGUUUGACCCGGACCUGCAGAACUUGGAGCAGAUGGUGGUGGUGCUGGGAAUCUGAACUCAAGUUUUCAGGGCAAGCACUUAACCAAAGGAGCUACCUCCACAGCCCCAAGGUUCAAGACUUUAUCUGAUGCCCUUGCCCUUCAGCCGAUGAUCCGAUGAUCAACCCUCAGCACAUCUUGUAGCACACAGCCUGCAUCCUGAUGAGGACAACAAGGUCUUCCCCUGAACCUGGGACUUAUCGACAUGGCAGAACUAACUGGUAUCUGUGUAUGAUCUUGAACUUCACAUCCUCCUGCCUCAGCACUGAAAGCUCCAGGAUUAGGAAGGACACUCUCUGCCACACUUGGCCUUCUUUGUAUUUGAGUUCUUUAGACAGGACUGGACCUGAGGUACACAACCUACUCUAAAGAGGGUCAGGGAGAAAAGGGAAGCAGCU
This is a long non-coding RNA of Mus musculus (house mouse), 584 nucleotides long. RefSeq annotates it as predicted gene, 42398. The transcript is spliced from 4 exons. Lineage: Eukaryota; Metazoa; Chordata; Mammalia; Rodentia; Muridae. The record is from RefSeq and is a predicted model, not a curated record.